This 393-nucleotide ribosomal RNA is filed under the name uncultured bacterium. Its description in RNAcentral is "partial 16S ribosomal RNA". It matches the Rfam family "Bacterial small subunit ribosomal RNA", at positions 523 to 918 of the family's 1533-position model. The record is from RNAcentral.
AUACGUAGGUGGCAAGCGUUAUCCGGAUUUACUGGGUGUAAAGGGUGUGUAGGCGGGACUGCAAGUCAGAUGUGAAAAUCAUGGGCUCAACUCAUGACCUGCAUUUGAAACUGUGGUUCUUGAGGGUCGGAGAGGUAACCGGAAUUCCUGGUGUAGCGGUGAAAUGCGUAGAUAUCAGGAGGAACACCGGUGGCGAAGGCGGGUUACUGGACGAUUACUGACGCUGAGACACGAAAGCGUGGGGAGCAAACAGGAUUAGAUACCCUGGUAGUCCACGCUGUAAACGAUGAAUGCUAGGUGUGGGGACGUAAGUUUCCGUGCCGGAGUUAACACAAUAAGCAUUCCACCUGGGGAGUACGGCCGCAAGGUUGAAACUCAAAUGAAUUGGCGGGG